This 301-nucleotide ribosomal RNA is filed under the name uncultured bacterium. Its description in RNAcentral is "partial 16S ribosomal RNA". It matches the Rfam family "Bacterial small subunit ribosomal RNA", at positions 509 to 809 of the family's 1533-position model. The record is from RNAcentral.
CAGUAGCCGCGGGAAUACGAAGGGGGCUAGCGUUGUUCGGAUUCACUGGGCGUAAAGGGCGCGUAGGCGGGCUGAUAAGUCAGGGGUGAAAUCCCAAGGCUCAACCUUGGAACUGCCUUUGAUACUGUUUGUCUUGAGUUCGAGAGAGGUAAGUGGAACUGCGAGUGUAGAGGUGAAAUUCGUAGAUAUUCGCAAGAACACCAGUGGCGAAGGCGGCUUACUGGCUCGAAACUGACGCUGAGGCGCGAAAGCGUGGGGAGCAAACAGGAUUAGAUACCCCCGUAGUCCCUGUCUCUUAUAA